Molecule: long non-coding RNA, 1329 nt
Filed under: Felis catus (domestic cat)
Lineage: Eukaryota; Metazoa; Chordata; Mammalia; Carnivora; Felidae
Description: lncRNA (ENSFCAG00000051288.1)
Source: RNAcentral
CUCUGAUUCCCCUGGGCGCCAAGCUCCAGGAGCCAGAAGCGAGGGCAGGGCUGCAAACUGUGGUCUCUGAACUCCCGCUGGGAAAGGCGGUUACACAGAGCAUCGCGUGCAGACACAUGUAGAUGAGCGCCCCCCCCCCCCGCAGGCGGUCACCCCCUGUCCAGGUGAGAAGCCCUGUCCCUGUUGGAGAACCUGUUGUCCUUCAGCAGCGGGAGGGACCCCGGGGCACCCACCGCAUGCAGGGUCUCUGCGAGGGGGAUGCUGCUUUCAGAGGAUUUAAUCCCGAUGGGAAGACAGGAACAGGCAAAGGGGUGCACGGGUCAACGAUGACGGCCCCGUGCUGCAGAAUAAAGGGUGACAUCCAGGCGCCACGUCCAGAGGUCACUACUGUAAAGCAAGCUGGGUCCUUCCCUCCUUCAUUCACUGUUUGUUUGUUUUGCAGCAACGCUUUGCUCCGUGCCCAUCAAGAGUGGGCGCUGCUCUGGACCCCCCCCCCCAAUCCAGCAGGGAAACAGCCGCACGACAAGGGGUGUCAGGUUGACGGUGUUUUGAAGCAAUGAGGCGAGCCGGGUUAGGGGGACGAGGCGAGGGGCGGGUGGAUUACAGAAUUCAAAAGAUGGUCCUCGUGAAGGCAGCGAAGCCAGGCAGCGAGGCGGGAGCCGCGAAGAAAACCUGGGGGACAAGGGUCCUGGGUGAUGCUCUGGGAACUGCGAGGGGGCCUGAGGCUCCAGCGAGACAUUCAAAAUAUCGGAGCCUCUCACAUCAUAUCUGACACCCCUAGUCCCAUCCAUCCCAGAGACUUCUUGCAAUUCAAGCUGUAUGUUUUUAUCAUUCCAUCUUUCCCGGAGCUGAGACGGUUUCUUCUUUUUGCAUCUUAUAGGUUUACGGUCGCAAUAAAAAAUUCUGGUCAGCCCGCUGAUCGAAAACGUAACUACAAAGGGAAUCGUCUGUUUUAUUUGUGUGUUAUCAGAAGGGGUAGACUGGGGGCGCCUGGGUGGCGCAGUCGGUUAAGCGUCCGACUUCAGCCAGGUCACGAUCUCGCGGUCCGUGAGUUCGAGCCCCGCGUCGGGCUCUGGGCUGAUGGCUCAGAGCCUGGAGCCUGUUUCCGAUUCUAUGUCUCCCUCUCUCUCUGCCCCUCCCGCGUUCAUGCUCUGUCUCUCUCUGUCCCAAAAAUAAAUAAACGUUGAAAAAAAAAAUUAAAAAAAAAAAAAAGAAGAAGGGGUAGACUGGAUUCCCAACAACCCCACACAGCUUGUGAAUAGUACCCGAGUGUCAUGCUUGAGGAUUGCCUAACUCACGAGUGUGAGACCCCUUUGCAGCCAGCGUGGA